Nelumbo nucifera (sacred lotus) is the source of this 375-nucleotide non-coding RNA. The record is from RefSeq and is a predicted model, not a curated record. Lineage: Eukaryota; Viridiplantae; Streptophyta; Magnoliopsida; Proteales; Nelumbonaceae.
CAGCGGUUAAUCAGCGGCAACAAGGAGAACCCUUCCUCCUCUUCUCUUCUUCUUUUCCUCUCCAUUCUUCUUCUUCGAAAAGUAGCUCCGGUGAAGAGACCCACUUGGAAGGAGGACCGGCGACCACAACAUCCACCGACUUGGACAACCACCGGUAGGAACAGGUCCGAUCUGAAGUCCGAACAGGUAUGACCGUCUUCUUCAUGCUAUUUGUAAGUGAUAAAUUUGGGGCAAUAUUGUAAAUGAAUUUCUGUAUUUUUGAAUGACCUAAAUGUUAUCUAACAGCAAAGUUUUUUUCCGUACACUUUAUAAGUGAAUUUUUGUAUUCAUCUUUCAUUUUGAGUUUUAUAUGGGAAAAUCCUAGUUCAUUUCAUA